RNAcentral lists this ribosomal RNA (436 nucleotides) under uncultured bacterium. RNAcentral describes it as "bacterial SSU rRNA". It matches the Rfam family "Bacterial small subunit ribosomal RNA", at positions 355 to 787 of the family's 1533-position model. The record is from RNAcentral.
UGAGGAAUAUUGGUCAAUGGGCGGGAGCCUGAACCAGCCAAGCCGCGUGAGGGAAGAAGGCCCUAUGGGUCGUAAACCUCUUUUGUCAGGGAACAAAAGCGAGUAUGUAUACUAGUCUGAGUGUACCUGAAGAAAAACGCAUCGGCUAACUCCGUGCCAGCAGCCGCGGUAAUACGGAGGAUGCGAGCGUUAUCCGGAUUUAUUGGGUUUAAAGGGUGCGUAGGCGGCGGUGCAAGUCAGCGGUAAAAGCCCGGGGCUCAACCCCGGCGAGCCGUUGAAACUGCAGUGCUAGAGAAGGCGAGAGGUACGCGGAAUGCGCAGUGUAGCGGUGAAAUGCUUAGAUAUCACGCAGAACUCCGAUUGCGAAGGCAGCAUACCGGCGCUCAACUGACGCUGAGGCACGAAAAGCGUGGGGAUCGAACAGGAUUAGAUACCC